RNAcentral lists this ribosomal RNA (556 nucleotides) under uncultured Aspergillus. RNAcentral describes it as "SSU rRNA". It matches the Rfam family "Eukaryotic small subunit ribosomal RNA", at positions 194 to 755 of the family's 1831-position model. The record is from RNAcentral. Lineage: Eukaryota; Fungi; Ascomycota; Eurotiomycetes; Eurotiales; Aspergillaceae.
GGAAGGGGUGUAUUUAUUAGAUAAAAAACCAAUGCCCUUCGGGGCUCCUUGGUGAAUCAUAAUAACUUAACGAAUCGCAUGGCCUUGCGCCGGCGAUGGUUCAUUCAAAUUUCUGCCCUAUCAACUUUCGAUGGUAGGAUAGUGGCCUACCAUGGUGGCAACGGGUAACGGGGAAUUAGGGUUCGAUUCCGGAGAGGGAGCCUGAGAAACGGCUACCACAUCCAAGGAAGGCAGCAGGCGCGCAAAUUACCCAAUCCCGACACGGGGAGGUAGUGACAAUAAAUACUGAUACGGGGCUCUUUUGGGUCUCGUAAUUGGAAUGAGUACAAUCUAAAUCCCUUAACGAGGAACAAUUGGAGGGCAAGUCUGGUGCCAGCAGCCGCGGUAAUUCCAGCUCCAAUAGCGUAUAUUAAAGUUGUUGCUGUUAAAAAGCUCGUAGUUGAACCUUGGGUCUGGCUGGCCGGUCCGCCUCACCGCGAGUACUGGUCCGGCUGGACCUUUCCUUCUGGGGAAUCUCAUGGCCUUCACUGGCUGUGGGGGGAACCAGGACUUUUAC